RNAcentral lists this long non-coding RNA (1540 nucleotides) under Homo sapiens (human). RNAcentral's name for it is "non-protein coding lnc-BDH1-5:10". Lineage: Eukaryota; Metazoa; Chordata; Mammalia; Primates; Hominidae. The record is from RNAcentral.
CUUUCAUACCUGCCUACUGAUGUAUGGACUUCAGAGUAGUGUGGCCUAUAUCGAUUUUCUAGGAUCAUUAUUUUGUUUGUUGUUUUUCUCCCUUCCUCCACCUAUUUUCUCUUCAUAGGACAUGAGGAUUCUCAACCUGAUAAAAAUGAGCUUUCCUAAUAACUCAAGACCCAUCUGCCUAGGAAUAAACCAUCCCAGCUGUGAGAGACCAGACGAAACCUGAGACCAGAGACUCGUUUUCUUCUAAAAUGCUUUCUCCAAAAGAUUUUUAAACAGAAAAAGGGGGAAAUGUGAAAGGAAAAGAAAACUUGAGGCCCCCAAAAUCACUAAGCUAAAAGGAAAAGUCAAGCUGGGAAUGGCUUAGGGCAAACCUGCCUCCCAUUCUAUGCAAAGUCAUCCCUCCGUGCACUGAGAUAAAUGCUUAUCUAAUUGCCUCCUUUGGAGAGGCUCAUCAGAAACUCAAAAUAAUGCAACCAUUUGACUCUCACCUACCUGUGACCUGGAAGAUCCCUCUCUGCUUGAGUUGUCCUGCUUUUCUGGAUGGAACCAAUGUUCAUCUUACAUAUAUUGAUUGAUGUCUCAUGUCUCCCUAAAAUGUAUAAAACCAAGCUGUGCCCUGACCACCUUGGGCACAUGUCGUCAGGACCUCCUGAGGCUGUGCCACAGGCAUGCAGCCUCAACCUUGGCAAAAUAAACUUUCUAAAUUGACUGAGACCAGUCUCAGAUAUUCAGGGUUCACAGUAUCCAAAAAUCCAAUCACAUCUGAAACCGCCUUUGCAAAAAUUAUCACAGUGAGAAAAUAAUGGCAGUGAAAGAAAGCUGAUCUAGCCAACCUCCCUCUUGCCUUUAGCUUUCAAGCUGCUUUUACUUAUUCCUGGGUUUAAGCCAAGCUACAUGUGGGAGUCAUUUAGUUGAUAGUUUAAAUUAUAAUAACCCUUCCCCGAAACUCAACCACCCUUGUAAUACUGAGAGACCACCAGGCUAGGAGGAGGAGAGGAGCCUAAAUUCUGCUAAGGUGUAGACAAAAACAAUUGUGAGGCGUUAUUCCAGAAGCCACAAGAUAUGCAACUUCCUCAGUUACCCCUGCAGAUAAUGUUACUUUUGUAGAACCUAGGAUUGGCCUUCUGAGAUAUCUUCUCAGGAUUUUGCAUGUCUGAUGACCGAUGGCUCCACCGGGACCAGCCAACGGCUUCUGUGUCCCCACCCAGAAGCGACUCAGAGAAAGAGGACAGCUUCGACACCCUAUGAUUUCAUCUCUGACCCAACCAAUCAGCACUCCCCAUACCCUAGCCUGCUACCUACCAAAUUACCUUUGAAAAAUCCCUAACCUCCAAGCCUUAGAUGAGUUUGAUUUGAGUAAUAACUCUGCCUCCCACAUGGUGUGGCUGGCAUCAUGUCAAUUAACCUCUUUCUUUACUGCAGUGCCAUGGUCUCCAUGAACUGAUUUUUUUGUGCAGUGGGCAGGAAGAACCCAUCGGGCAGCUACACAUCUUGAAAGAGAAGCUCUUCCUGUGAGGCUGCCGGGUGCCGUAUGGGAGCG